CGGGCUGAGGCGAGCCGAGCCCGGGCGGCGUCGAGCGGGGCGAGGGACGCGGGCUGGUGCCGGGGCCCGUGCCCACCGGCCCGGGGCGGCGAAAGCCGGGCUUACCCGCCGGGGAGGGCUCGGGGAAAAUAAAAUAAAAAAAAGGUUCAUAGUCUUGAGCUCGCCCCUGCGAGGAGCCGGUGCCGCGCCGCAGCCAUGGGGAACCGGGGGAUGGAGGAUCUCAUCCCGCUGGUCAACCGGCUGCAGGACGCCUUCGCCGCCAUCGGGCAGAACGCCAACCUCGACCUGCCGCAGAUCGCCGUGGUGGGGGGGCAGAGCGCCGGCAAGAGCUCCGUGCUGGAGAAUUUCGUCGGGAGGGACUUUCUGCCACGUGGAUCUGGCAUCGUAACCAGACGCCCUCUGGUCCUGCAGCUGGUAAAUGCCAGCACAGAAUAUGGCGAGUUCCUACACUGCAAAGGAAAGAAAUUCACUGAUUUUGAGGAGGUCCGUUUGGAGAUUGAGGCUGAAACGGAUCGUGUUACUGGCUCCAACAAAGGCAUUUCUCCUGUGCCCAUCAAUCUUCGAGUCUACUCUCCCCAUGUCCUGAACCUGACCUUGGUGGAUCUACCGGGUAUGACAAAAGUUCCGGUAGGAGACCAGCCUCCUGACAUUGAGUUCCAGAUCAGAGAUAUGCUCAUGCAGUUUGUCACCAAAGAGAAUUGCCUCAUCCUGGCCGUAUCCCCAGCCAACUCCGAUUUGGCCAAUUCUGAUGCCCUGAAGGUUGCAAAGGAGGUGGAUCCUCAAGGGCAGCGCACUAUUGGAGUCAUUACUAAGCUGGAUCUUAUGGAUGAAGGAACUGAUGCACGAGAUGUAUUAGAAAAUAAAUUACUUCCUCUUCGUAGAGGUUACAUUGGUGUCGUCAACAGAAGUCAGAAGGACAUUGAUGGCAAGAAGGACAUUCAGGCAGCUCUGGCUGCAGAGAGAAAAUUUUUUCUCUCCCACCCAGCCUACAGACACAUGGCUGAUCGCAUGGGAACCCCCUACCUGCAGAAAGUAUUGAACCAGCAAUUGACCAACCACAUCCGUGACACCCUGCCAGGGCUGCGGAACAAGCUCCAAAGCCAGCUUCUCUCCAUUGAGAAGGAGGUGGAGGAGUACAAGAACUUUCGCCCUGAUGACCCUGCUCGCAAGACCAAAGCUCUGCUUCAGAUGGUCCAGCAGUUUGCUGUGGACUUUGAGAAACGCAUUGAAGGCUCUGGAGACCAAAUUGAUACCUAUGAGCUGUCAGGAGGAGCUAGGAUUAACCGCAUCUUCCAUGAGCGUUUCCCCUUUGAAUUGGUGAAGAUGGAGUUUGAUGAGAAGGAGCUGCGGCGGGAGAUUAGCUAUGCCAUCAAGAACAUCCAUGGUAUCAGAACCGGUCUCUUCACACCCGACAUGGCCUUUGAGACCAUUGUGAAAAAGCAGGUGAAGAAGAUUAAAGAACCUUGCCUGAAAUGCGUGGACAUGGUCAUAUCGGAGUUAAUCAAUACCGUUAGACAGUGCACCAAGAAGCUCAGCCAAUACCCCCAUCUGCGUGAGGAGAUGGAGAGGAUUGUUACUACUCACAUUCGUGAGAGAGAAGGCAGGACCAAAGAUCAGGUCAUGCUUCUAAUAGACAUUGAGCUGGCUUACAUGAACACAAACCAUGAGGAUUUCAUUGGCUUUGCCAACGCUCAGCAGAGGAGCAGCCAGAUGAGCAAGAAGAAGGCAGCUGGCAACCAGGAUGAGAUCCUGGUCAUCCGGAAGGGCUGGCUCACCAUCAAUAACAUUGGGAUCAUGAAGGGUGGCUCCAAGGAGUAUUGGUUUGUCCUGACAGCGGAGAACCUCUCCUGGUACAAGGAUGAUGAGGAGAAGGAGAAAAAGUAUAUGUUACCAGUGGAUAACCUGAAGCUGCGAGAUGUUGAGAAGGGGUUCAUGUCCAGCAAGCACAUCUUUGCUCUCUUCAACACUGAACAGAGGAAUGUUUACAAGGACUAUCGGCAGCUGGAGCUGGCCUGUGAGACCCAGGAGGAGGUGGAUAGCUGGAAGGCUUCCUUCCUUCGUGCAGGAGUCUACCCAGAGCGUGUUGGGGACAAGGACAAAGCCAGUGAAGCGGAGGAGAAUGGAUCAGACAGUUUCAUGCACUCCAUGGAUCCUCAGCUGGAGAGACAAGUAGAAACAAUCAGGAACCUGGUGGAUUCCUACAUGGCAAUUGUCAACAAAACCAUCAGAGACCUCAUGCCGAAGACAAUUAUGCACCUCAUGAUAAACAAUACCAAGGACUUUAUCCAUUCGGAGCUGCUGGCAAACCUGUACUCCUGUGGUGACCAAAAUACGCUGAUGGAGGAGUCGGCAGAGCAGGCCCAGCGCCGUGACGAGAUGCUGCGCAUGUACCAUGCCCUGAAAGAGGCCCUCAAUAUCAUCGGGGACAUCAACACCAGCACCAUCAGCACCCCUAUGCCCCCACCGGUGGACGACUCUUGGCUGCAGGUCUCCUACGUCCAGCCCCACGCCACAGAGGAGAGCUCCCGCUGUUCCACCCGCCAGACCUGGGUCUCGAGGCCCGGCUCCUGGGCCACCUCCUGCUGGUGGGUCCACGCUGGGUGGUGCCCCCCCUGUGCCCUCCAGGCCAGGUGCCUCUCCUGAUCCCUUUGGGCCCCCACCUCAGGUUCCUUCUCGGCCUAAUCGCGCUCCUCCUGGUGUUCCCAGAAUCACUAUCAGUGACCCCUGAGGACUGGCAGCCACGCAGAAGGGGCCCCGCCUCACCUACUCGACCUACCAUAAUCCGACCGGCUGAACCGUCCCUCUUAGAUUUAUAACUCGAGGCUGUAGACAGCUGGCGACGAAUGCCGUGCUGGCGGCUUCCCCAUCCCACCCUCCCUCCCUCCCACCCUCACUCCUCUCAUCCAUCCCACAUCUCUGCCUCCCACCACCCCUUCCCGGUGUGUCGUAAAGCACUUAGCCUAGUGAUCGAGCUCUUCGUCUCCACUCGUGCGUCCUGUAUUGCUUUGUGAGCGUAGAGUAGCCUUCAUUCAGUGGCACGGAUCCCUGAACUGCACAGGCUCCUUGGAGAGAUCAGCGCAGGGACGGCAUUAAGUCCAAGUGGUGGCUGCCCGUCCGGUUAUUUCACCUGCCUGGUCUUAGCCUGGAUAAGUGUCCUGCCUGCAUCAGUUAGCUGUAGCACCUAGGACUGAUCUGUAGCUAUUUUCUUUUCUUGUAGUUAAGAAAACAAAAGUGUGACUUAGAAGAAGAAAAAAAAAAAAAAAAUUACUGUCAAAACAUGUGACACCGUUAGGAACAGAUUAAAUGUCCUGUGUAGUAGUUUGACUUCUAAGGUGCAAAAAUUCACGUUGGGAACAGUGCAAUCAACCUUCUGUCAGUGAGUGAGGCAGGGAGAUGAAGAAGGGGGGAACUCAAUGGAUCGGCAUAGUCCUGCUAGAGUGAAGUCUGAGAUAGCGCACACACCUCCGCGUGCGGGGAGCACGUGGACCCGCUCGAAUGGAGCUCCCCAAAAAGCCGGGGAGAUCCUGCUGGGGACGCACUGGCUCCUGCCAGCAGUUGUCUCGCAUCAUCCUUUUUUGGCUGACUUUCCUGAACCCAGCAGGGAGAAGGGGAAUAGAUAACGCUGCUCCCCCCUUGCAAAUGGACAACCAAAUGUUUUCAGGGAGUUCGCUGUGUAAUGUUUUUGUUGAAAAUAUAUUUCCGCUUUGAAUAAGCACAUCUUUCAGUGGUUUUUGGGUACUGUGGUGACUUCUUCCGUAGCCUUUUCUUCUUGCAUGUGGAUGGUACGUGUUUGGGGAAACUUGUAACUAUUGUUGAUCACAACUCAUCUUAAGAUUUGAUUUUUACUUUUCAUGCUACAUGUAUUAAAAAAAAAAAAAAAAAAAAAAAAAAAAAAAAAAAAAAGACUUGAGAAUUAAAAAUAUAUCAACCCUGUUCAUCUCAGAUGUCAUGUCUCUACCAGAGCUAAAUGAGCCACCUGCGUUGCAGGCUUUCAACCAGGCCUGAUUCAGGUUUAAAUUAUCUCAUUUCAGUGCUAUUGCUCUUAAUUUCUGUUGUGGAUCCUCUGUUGUUCUGAUGCCGGUUCCUUUCUGUAUUUUUAACUAUUGUUUUACUACUUCUUCCCCUUUUCCUUCCCUUCCCCUUUUCCUUUUUUUCUUUUCUUUGUUUUUCUUGUCUUUAAACUCCAGCCGGCCGGGUAAGGCCAGUCCCUCCCGCCCAGAGAGCCCAAAACCACCAUUUGACAUGUAGGCCUGCUCCCUCUGAGACUCUUUGCCUGCCUCUUAGCUGUUCUGUCCUGGAAUGGUCUGACUCCAAUCUCUCACACUUGGCUUGUUUUGUUUGUAUUUUGUGACACACACAUAUCAAAUGUGAUUGUAGUGAAACUGUUUUGUUGGGUUUAUUUUUCUUCCCAGCUGCUUAAAGGAGUUAAACAAGUAUAUUGUAGUAAUGAGAAACAUAUCUUUACUGUUAUAAAUAUCUAUAAAUAUAUAUAUAAGAUGAAAAAUCUAUAUAUGUCCAGGUGUUUAAAGCCAUUUGUGCUUCCAUGUGGAUAUUAGGAAAUACUUAAGUAGGGAAAGAAUAUCUAUAUACAUAUAUAUAUACACACACAUCCAAAAAGUUAACCAAAUCCUGAUGUUGAGUUUUUGAGCUGAUUGUUAAAUUCUCUGCUGUGUGCAGUUGGGUUAUUGUAUUACCCCAGACUUGUGGGUGAACUGUCUCAGUGCUGGUAGUAGCUGUGCUGCAGUUUGUGAUCUACCUGUCACUCUUGUUUAUUGGAUGAAAUAAACUCUCAUUUCUGUAUAAUGAAGGUCUCCAUGACGAGAAUAAAACCAUCUCUCUUUCUCUUGCUC
RNA transcript from Calidris pugnax (ruff), 4850 nucleotides. It is a transcript of the gene named dynamin 1, with no coding region annotated. The record is from RefSeq and is a predicted model, not a curated record. Lineage: Eukaryota; Metazoa; Chordata; Aves; Charadriiformes; Scolopacidae. The transcript has 23 exons.